UGUUUUUGGUUAAUAGUUAGUUUUAGUUGUUAAAAAAAUAAUUUAAAAUGGGUUAUGUAAGUAAUUUGUAGUGAAAUGAUAGGAUAAACGAUAGAUUAUAAGUACUGUAAAGGAAUAAGUACAAAUUUUAGUAGUAAGAUUUAAUUUCUGUACCUUGUGUCUCAGGGAAUAUUUAUAUAUUUCAUAGUAAUUGGGUAUCUCGAAAUAAAUACAGUUAAUUUCAUAUAUAAGUUAUUGUAGAAUAUUUAUUUAAAAUAUGAAGUUAAAGAUGAAAUAUCAUUCGAGAUUUAUUAUAUCUAGUUUUUUAAAAUAAAAAUUUAAUUUUAUCUUUUUGUUAUUUUACAGAAGGGGUUAGACUAGGAGGGUUGAGCUUCUUAGAUGUAUUUAAAAUAGACAGUGUAUAAGUGAGCUUUUUAAACUAGGCUUAAAAAUAGUUAUUUUUGUAAAAUGUUAUAAUUAAAUAAUUUAAUGAUAUUAUUUAUAUAGGUCUUUUUUGUUAUAUUAAAAAAUUUUUAUAAAUAUAAAAUUGAAAGUUAUAAUAAUAUUAUUAGUAUAAAUUAAUGUUAAGUUGGUAAAUUAAAAUAUUUAUUAAUAUUUAGUGUAGUUUUGAUAGUAUAUAGGAAUUCGGCAAAUAAUUUCUUUGCCUGUUUAUCAAAAACAUGUCUGUUUGUAGGUAUAAAAAGUCCGAUCUGCCCACUGAUAAAUAAUAUUAAAUGGCCGCAGUAUAUUAACUGUGCAAAGGUAGCAUAAUCGUUAGUUCUUUAAUUGAGAUCUUGUAUGAAUGAUUAGACAAAAGAAGUACUGUCUUUAUAGUAAAAUUAAAAUUUAACUUUUAAGUGAAAAGGCUUAAAUUGUUUGAAGUGACGAUAAGACCCUAUGAAGCUUAAUAUUACAUAAGAGUUUAAAUGAUUUAUACGUUAAAGUUUUAAAGAUUAUAGGUAUUUUAUUGGGGUGAUAGAAGUAAAAUUUUAGAUAACUGCUUUAUUGUAUAACAGUGAAUUGUUGUUUAUUAUAUUUAAAUGAUCCUUUGUAAGGAGUAUAAGAUUAAGUUACUUUAGGGAUAACAGCGUUAUUUUUUUUGAGAGUUCUUAUCGAAAAAAAAGAUUGCGACCUCGAUGUUGAAUUAAAAUAUCUGUAUAAUUGUAGGAGUUAUAUUAGAAGGUCUGUUCGACCUUUAAAUUUUUACAUGAUUUGAGUUCAGACCGGUUUAAACCAGGUCGGUUUCUAUCUUUUAAUUAAAGAUAAUUAUUUUAGUACGAAAGGACCAAAUAAUUGAAAUAAUUUUGGUAUA
RNAcentral lists this ribosomal RNA (1291 nucleotides) under Troglocarcinus corallicola. RNAcentral describes it as "16S ribosomal RNA". The stretch from base 597 to 1291 matches the Rfam family "Archaeal large subunit ribosomal RNA", at positions 1423 to 2786 of the family's 2987-position model. The record is from RNAcentral. Lineage: Eukaryota; Metazoa; Arthropoda; Malacostraca; Decapoda; Cryptochiridae.